CCCUGCCAUUUGUACACACCGCCCGUCGCUCCUACCGAUUGAAUGGUCCGGUGAGAACGUCGGAUCACGCGCUCGACGCCAGUUCGCUGGUGACUUGCGCGAGAGAAGUAGUUCAAACCUUACCAUUUAGAGGAAGGAGAAGUCGUAACA
RNAcentral lists this ribosomal RNA (150 nucleotides) under uncultured eukaryote. RNAcentral's name for it is "partial small subunit ribosomal RNA". It matches the Rfam family "Eukaryotic small subunit ribosomal RNA", at positions 1651 to 1796 of the family's 1831-position model. The record is from RNAcentral.